GGCCGGAUAAUCUAAUAAAGAUAUUUCGCUGUAAACGAAACAAUAAGCCACGUAUAACAUCUUUCCAGCCA
This 71-nucleotide transfer RNA is filed under the name Sympagella nux. Its description in RNAcentral is "tRNA-Tyr". The record is from RNAcentral. Lineage: Eukaryota; Metazoa; Porifera; Hexactinellida; Lyssacinosida; Rossellidae.